GUAUGACGGGUUUUUGCACCGUCACCACGGCUGGGUUGUGCUCUUUUAUCACUAAGAUCUGCAUCCACCUCCAAUGUAGGUCAGAGGCAGUCUAAAAUAAGCAUCUGAGAUAAAAACUGCUGCUGACCUUCUGACUGGGAUCGAGUUUGACAGGUUGGCAGAAGUUAGUCCACUCCUAGGCUGCAGAGCGAAGCUGCAGCAGAUGUUUGAUUCCUUUCCUGCAAGUUCCAUGGCCAAAUCUGUGAAAAUGUAUGUUUUUAACUCAGAGGAGCUCAACGUAAGGAAGCAGAUGAUCACAGUAUGCUGAUGACCUCUGACCUGUAAGGAGAUGACCAGCGUUAACGCUCCAGCCUGUCUGCUUGCCAGGAACAACUUCUACAGAAGCUCGUCCUCACCCACGGUGCCCAUCAAACCCACGUACGGCCGACUCAAUGACACCGUCGAGCACAAACAGAGGCAGGUCACCCUGUGGGUCACCAUGGAAACGCCUCCAGGUCCUGUUUGUGCAUGUGUGAGAAGCAUGCCUGAUGGGAUACAGAGGAUUCCAGGUCAACAUCGUCCUGGGCUUUACCUCCACUCGCCACCCCUCAACUUCCAAACCACCCACACCCGCAGACCGGAGGUUAAAGUAGAAGACUGAAGCGCACCCCCUUGGUACAUGAACUGAAGGAAACUCCUCCGUGUCUCUUUGCUAAAAUCUCCCUUCGGACUGAGAGCUCAAAGAAACUAGAAACCCUGAAGAAGGACGAACAUUUGAAUCAACGGGAGGACCCUGUGGACAUCUCACAGACAUAUGAAGAAUAGAACUAUUCCCAUCCUUUGUUAUAGACAUAGAAAGAGUAGCUCUGUUCCUCUCCUUUGUUACAGACAUUGAAGGAAUAGAUCUAUUCCUGUCCUUUGUUACAGAUGCAGAAAUAUUAGAUCUGUUGCUGUCUUUUGUUACAGAUGUAUAAAGAAUAGAUCUGUUCCUGAACUCUGUCACAGACGUGCAAAUAGAUCUGUCUGUCCUUUGAUACGGACAAAGAUAGAAAAGAUCUGUUCCUGCCCUUUGAUACAGACAUAGAAAUUAUAGAUCUGACUGUUCUUUUACAGAUGUAGAUGAGUAGAUCUGUUCCCAUCUUUUGUUAGACGUAGAAAGAAUAGAUCUCUUCCUGUCCUCUGUCAUAGAUGUAAAAAGAGUAGAUCUGUUACUUUCCUUUUGUUACAGACGUCAAGAAUAGGUCUGUUACUAAAUGUAUAAACAUGAACCAAAUCCUCCAUGAUGACAAUAACCUACAGCUGUUUAACUGAAAGAUGAAAAACAUCUCCACAUCUUUCAGGGCUUUUUAUGACAGUCUGUGUGGCGUCCAUUUCACAUUUCCUUCCAAACAUGUUUUUUUAAUCUUUCCAGAAGGAAACUUGAAGAUGAAUCCUUGUGUUCCACAUGUUACAGGUAGUAAAUGUGUUUCUUCCGCUGAUAAUGAAGGAACUCCAUACAGAGACAGUUCACAUGUUUGGUUAGCACAUAGCAACACUGGCUGAACAGGGUCAAAGAAGGGGCGGGGCUACAUUAUCAGGUCCACUUAAAAUAAUCAAUAAGAGGCAGUUUUUAAUCAUUUUAGCUGGUCGAUACAGGUGCAAUUAAACUUCUCAUUAAAUGUAAAAUCUGUGCCAAACUUUGCAGCCUCUAAAAACACCAAAACAAAAAAACACCACAUUGAGAGAUGCACCUCAUUAAACCUACGGAUAAAUAAAAGAAGGUAAUUCUUUGAGAGUGUGUGUUUG
RNAcentral lists this long non-coding RNA (1764 nucleotides) under Gouania willdenowi (blunt-snouted clingfish). RNAcentral describes it as "lncRNA (ENSGWIG00000016900.1)". The record is from RNAcentral. Lineage: Eukaryota; Metazoa; Chordata; Actinopteri; Blenniiformes; Gobiesocidae.